CCGGCAGAGGCGCUGCGGAGGCUCCCGGGAGCGGGCGGCGCGGCGUGAGCGCGGCAAGCGGACAGCGGCGGGGCCUCCCGGGCAGCCAGCGUGGACCGAGAGGCGCGCGUGCCGAGCAUGGCGGGCUCCCUGCCUCCCUGCGUGGUGGACUGCGGCACCGGGUAUACCAAGCUUGGCUACGCAGGCAACACUGAGCCACAGUUCAUUAUUCCUUCAUGUAUUGCCAUCCGAGAGUCGGCAAAGGUGGUCGACCAAGCCCAGAGGAGGGUGUUGAGGGGUGUCGACGACCUGGACUUCUUCAUAGGGGACGAAGCCAUAGAUAAACCCACGUACGCCACAAAGUGGCCAAUAAGACACGGAAUAAUUGAAGACUGGGAUCUAAUGGAAAGGUUCAUGGAACAAGUGAUUUUUAAGUAUCUUCGAGCUGAGCCUGAGGAUCAUUAUUUUUUAAUGACAGAACCUCCACUGAACACACCAGAAAACAGAGAAUAUCUUGCAGAAAUUAUGUUUGAAUCAUUUAAUGUACCAGGACUCUACAUUGCAGUUCAGGCAGUGCUGGCCUUAGCAGCGUCUUGGACCUCGCGACAAGUGGGCGAACGUACAUUAACGGGGAUCGUCAUCGACAGUGGGGAUGGGGUCACCCAUGCUAUCCCAGUGGCAGAAGGGUAUGUCAUUGGGAGCUGCAUCAAACACAUCCCUAUCGCAGGGAGAGAUAUUACGUAUUUCAUGCAACAGCUGCUGAGGGAGCGGGAGGUGGGGAUUCCUCCGGAGCAGUCGCUGGAGACUGCCAAAGCCAUCAAGGAGAAAUACUGUUACAUUUGCCCUGAUAUCGUCAAGGAAUUUGCCAAGUAUGAUGUGGAUCCUCAGAAGUGGAUCAAACAGUACACGGGGAUCAAUGCAGUCAACCAGAAGAAGUUCAUUAUAGACGUUGGCUACGAAAGGUUCCUGGGCCCUGAGAUUUUCUUUCACCCGGAGUUUGCCAACCCAGACUUUAUGGAGUCCAUCUCGGACGUUGUUGAUGAAGUCAUACAGAACUGCCCCAUCGAUGUCCGUCGUCCGCUGUAUAAGAAUGUCGUUCUUUCAGGGGGCUCUACGAUGUUCAGGGACUUUGGACGUCGCCUGCAGAGAGACUUAAAAAGGGUGGUGGACGCCAGACUGAGACUCAGCGAGGAGCUCAGCGGUGGCAGAAUAAAGCCCAAGCCCGUGGAGGUCCAGGUGAUAACGCAUCAUAUGCAGCGCUACGCGGUGUGGUUCGGAGGCUCCAUGCUGGCCUCAACUCUAUGCAGUUUUCCAGCACCAUCUGUAACUGAAGACACGAGAGAUUCAGUUUCCUGUUGACCACAUGAGAAAUGAAGUCACUUAUGUUACAGGGAUGUGGGGAGAAUCAAAUAAGAGACAAGACAUCCACAUGGCAUCCUAAAUAACACAAGGUCAUGUGUAAGUGCUGGAGGACGCUAGCGGUCAGGAGCUCCAGUCAGCCUGGGCCGAGCAUCUGUGGCGAUCUGCAAGGGUGACCUAGUCAUUCAGACCCAAUGGGAGGGGUAUCAGAGGACUCACCAGGAAGGCUGGGUGCACAGAUUUGAUCGAGAAGAUUAGAACACGAUGGAGGAGUGGAUUCCACAUCUAAGCGAUAUCAUAUGAUAUUUAUCUUUCUUUGUCUGGGCCUAGUGUUCUUAUUCUCAUUUUACAGAUGAACAAACAAAGAGGUGGGCUGGGGCCUCGUCAAGCAGGGAGCAAGUGGAGGAGGAGAAGGACUUAAAUAUACCAGGUCCUCGACCCAGGACCACAGACCGCCGGUCCCCAGGGACCUCCAGAAUGUCAAGACCACACAUUUCUGCCGUGCGAUCCCCUCAGCCUGAGGUACUUGGUUACGACAGCCCUAGCAAACGAAUACAGCAUUCAUGGUUCAGAUCCUCAGAAACGCUGGUGCCUCCAAACCACCCCCAACGGCCUGUGUGCUGACUUUGACCACAGCAGCCUGUGAUCUGUGGGGUCACAUGCCGGGCUGCUUCGUAGAACCUUCCAUGAACUUUCUCCUCGAAUUGACCGGCGAUUCUGGGGGUGGAGGGUUCUCAAUAUCUGCCCAACUAGCUUGGAAAAGAGGGAGAAGACCAGAACUUUGCUUAAGCCUAGAACAAAUAUCUUCCCUUGGAUGUCAUCUGAUGCCUUCUAUUUAAAAAAUUUUUUGACUUAAUUUUUUAAUAUAAUUUUAAAGGGUACACUCCAUUUACGGUAAUUACAAGAUAUUGGCUCUAUUCCCCGUGUUGAACAAUACAUCCUCGUAGCCUGUCUUUCACUCAGUAGUUUGCAUGUCCCACUCCCCCAUCCCUAUAUUGCCCCUCCCCUCCCUCUCCCCACUGGUAACCACUAGUUUGUUCUCCAUAUCUGUGAGUCCU
Molecule: RNA transcript, 2396 nt
Organism: Balaenoptera musculus (blue whale)
Lineage: Eukaryota; Metazoa; Chordata; Mammalia; Artiodactyla; Balaenopteridae
Gene: ACTR3B
Gene name: actin related protein 3B
Exons: 14
Source: RefSeq, a predicted model, not a curated record